This 253-nucleotide ribosomal RNA is filed under the name uncultured bacterium. RNAcentral describes it as "partial 16S ribosomal RNA". It matches the Rfam family "Bacterial small subunit ribosomal RNA", at positions 524 to 776 of the family's 1533-position model. The record is from RNAcentral.
UACGGAGGGUGCAAGCGUUAUCCGGAUUUACUGGGUUUAAAGGGUGCGUAGGUGGAUAAUUAAGUCAGUGGUGAAAUCUUCAGGCUUAACCUGGAAACUGCCAUUGAUACUAUUUGUCUUGAAUACUUUGGAGGUAAGCGGAAUAUGUCAUGUAGCGGUGAAAUGCUUAGAUAUGACAUAGAACACCAAUGGCGAAGGCAGCUUACUACACAGUAAUUGACACUGAGGCACGAAAGCGUGGGGAUCAAACAGG